This 2665-nucleotide long non-coding RNA is filed under the name Sus scrofa (pig). Its description in RNAcentral is "lncRNA (ENSSSCG00065005180.1)". The record is from RNAcentral. Lineage: Eukaryota; Metazoa; Chordata; Mammalia; Artiodactyla; Suidae.
UUUUUUUUUUUUUUUUAAGUAUUUGUUUGAUUGAGCUUAGUAUUUUUGGUCAUUUACAUUACGUUAUAAGCAUCAGAAACCCUCUAAGUUUUUAUUCUUAUCAAAGAAAGCCUAAUUCAGUGGUAGAAACUGAGGAACAAUAACAAAAACUAACCUGCUCACAAAAUAUUUUAACUUUGGCAGCCCUAUUCACUCAAGGCUAUUAUGUAAAGCUAAAUUACAUGAGUUCUUAGAAAGAGAAAAAUAGGAUAUAUAGUAGUUGUUUUCAUUUUCACAUUCUAAUAAGUAUUAAUGAGUAUAUUCAACCAUGUUGAAUAACAAGGUACACUGCGUUGUCAGUGUUCGUGCAAGUCUUAGUUUCUUAAAAGAAAAGCUGUUUUCAAAAGCUUUGGGUUCCUCUGAUCUAGAGUCUUUCCCAUUCCAUUCUAAUAAAAUUAAUUCAUAUACAUGAUCAAGGUGAGUAGGUAGAUGACAGUGAUGAGGAGACAAAAAUAAACACAAAAGCCAUUCCCUGAUAGAAGUGAUGCCAGGUUUGAUUUGUGGAAACUGCGUUUAGCUGUGGUGUAUGUGCAUUUUCAGGACUACCUCUGGGUCUCAAGAAGCUUCUUUUGGAAAUGUAGUAUUAAAUGUCACUACAACAUGUUGUCCAUGGCCUUUCAUAACAUGUCUGCCAAAGUCAGCCUGUGCAUGCAGGACAAGAAAUAAUUUCCCACUAGGCAAAAAUUCCCAAUGACUAUUAAAACUCACAUGCAUAAUGAGUCUGCUCUUUUUAUGCAAAUGUUUAUUGAUCAUUUCCAUCGGAGCAUUAGACAGUGAAAUGUGUGCAAACAUUUAGACAGUUUCUUUAACGGGUUUCUAUCUUUAUGAAGAGGUUUUUUUUUUUUUUAAUUUUUAAAGUAUUUUCAUUUGCAAAUUGUGAUCACUGUGGUGAGCCCCCGGAAUAAUUAGUGUAUCCUAAUUUUUCAGUUUUCAAUUAAAAAAAGAAAAAAAAUGAACAUAAGGUGUGUGGAAAGAGCAUUAAUAUAGGUAGGUAUUCAUAAUAUUGUAAGAUAUCCAAGGUUAAGAUAAUCACAAAAUCAGACUGAUAGAAGACUAUCAGAACACUGUGUUAUUCUUAGAAAAUACUAUCUGUAGUUGUGUUUGAUUAUCUUUGUACAUUUUACCACUGUUUGACCUAGAGAAAGGAUUUGCCUAUGAAGCGCAAAGUAAAAGAAUGCUGAGGAAGAUAUUGGGUUUGUCAUUUGAAUAACAGAUAUUAUAUAGAAAUUGACUAAAAUUACAUACAGUGCUGUCCCUUUAAUAAGAUAAACACAUUCUCAGAACAAAUGUGCUAGAAAUCAAUGUAAAAUAUACAUUUUAAAAAUUCCCAAAGCAUAUUUUAUUUAAAUAUAAGACUCAGUACAUUUGUCCUACCAAGAUCUUUAAAAAUGGGAACUUCCUUAAGAAGGGCUUGGCUGUAACUUCGAAUUUAAGAUUAUAUGAUUAAAUGCACAUGUUUAUUGAACAUCAUUCAUCCAAAUCCCUGACUGAAUCCUUUCCUAUGAUUUAAAUUAACCUCUUAAUCACCCAAAGCCAGAUCAGCAACACAUUUUAUAUUUGGUUAUAAAGAAAACCAUAAUGAUUGGGUUAAGUAUAGCACUCAUUUACUGGUGUUUCUGUAGACAUCCGAAGGGGAAAAAAAUGAAAGUGGCUUUGUGAAACCUGUAUUGAGGGGUGGGAGAGACUGCUAAAAAUGUUUCCAAUAACAGAUUUUUGGUUUUCCGUCCCUUUUUCCCCUGAAACAUCUAUCCUACAUAUCUCAAAAUGCAGAAAAUGCAUAUCUUCUUCACAAAUCCCACAACUCUCAAGCACCCUGGCACCAGACAUAGCAUCUGUUGUUUCACUGUUCGAUAAUUCACAGUUAGCCAAAGUGGGAAAUGCGAACAAUCCUUUUUCAUAUUUGCAUACUUGGAAUUUGGCUUUUUGAUUCAUGAUUGCUCCCAUUAGCUUUGAAAAAUACACGUUUCUAUCUAGUUGCCUGUUUUGCUUGAGUGGGCUGAAAUUAUGCUCUUGACUCAACUACUAUUACAAGUGUAAAUACUUUGGAAAUAUAAGUGUCUGCCACUGAUUUUGGGGGUGUUGGUUUUAUUGAUUUUCAUCUGGCAAGUUUAAAAUAUAAGCAAACUUUUCAGGGAGGGUUUGGGGGCAUUUGUUUGAACACUCCUGGAGUAAUUGGAAAUGCAACAAUUGUUUAAAAAGUGGCAUUGUCCAUGAAAAGAUUUAGUGAGGGAUGAAGAAAUUUCUUGAACCUAAAGACCUAAUCUGGUGAUCCAAUUCUCCCCACUGUGUCCAUUCCCGUGAAACUCCAUUUACUUGCCCCUAUCCAUCACUAGCUCUCUGCAUCCUACCUAGCCAAUCCUCUAGGUUUCCCACAUUGUCUCCUCUUUUGUCUUUUCAGUCUAAACAGAAGAACAACAGAUAGAGUUCUGAAGGGCAGGGAGCAUCAGGAGCUGCAGGAGAAUGGCUGAGAUGAGGGUCAGAGUCCUGCCCCUACUGCCAACAGUUACUGGGGUUUGUGCUGCCCGGCUGAACAGUGUUCAAAGGCUUUGCUGGGCUUUGUUCCACUGUGUAGGGAUUAGGCCUGGCGGUCUGAGAAUUUGCCUUCUAAUUAAAAAGGAUAAAAGAU